UCUUUAGGCAAAUCCGGAGAGCUAAGACCGAGACGUGAUAACGAGUCUACUUGUAGACGAAGUGAUUGAUACCAUGCUUCCAAGAAAAGCCACUAAGCUUCAGUUGUAUAAGACCGUACCGCAAACCGACACAGGUGGGCAGGAUGAGAAUUCUAAGGCGCUUGAGAGAACUCGAGAGAAGGAACUCGGCAAAAUAGCACCGUAACUUCGGGAGAAGGUGCGCCCCG
Molecule: ribosomal RNA, 227 nt
Filed under: uncultured Amoebophrya
Lineage: Eukaryota; Dinophyceae; Syndiniales
Description: partial Bacterial large subunit ribosomal RNA
Rfam family: Bacterial large subunit ribosomal RNA
Source: RNAcentral